GAUGAACGCUGGCGGCGUGCUUAACACAUGCAAGUCGAACGGAAAGGCCCAAGCUUGCUUGGGUACUCGAGUGGCGAACGGGUGAGUAACACGUGGGUGAUCUGCCCUGCACUUCGGGAUAAGCCUGGGAAACUGGGUCUAAUACCGGAUAGGACCACAUUUUGGAUGGUGUGGUGGAAAGUUUUUCGGUGUGGGAUGAGCUCGCGGCCUAUCAGCCUGUUGGUGGGGUAAUGGCCUACCAAGGCGUCGACGGGUAGCCGGCCUGAGAGGGUGUACGGCCACAUUGGGACUGAGAUACGGCCCAGACGCCGACGGGAGGCAGCUGUGGGGAAUCUUGCACAAUGGGCGCCAGCCUGAUGCAGCGACGCCGCGUGGGGGAUGACGGCCUUCGGGUUGUAAACUCCUUUCGCUAGGGACGAAGCGUUAUGUGACGGUACCUGGAGAAGAAGCACCGGCUAACUACGUG
Molecule: ribosomal RNA, 466 nt
Filed under: uncultured bacterium
Lineage: Bacteria
Description: partial 16S ribosomal RNA
Rfam family: Bacterial small subunit ribosomal RNA
Source: RNAcentral